RNAcentral lists this ribosomal RNA (490 nucleotides) under uncultured bacterium. RNAcentral describes it as "partial 16S ribosomal RNA". It matches the Rfam family "Bacterial small subunit ribosomal RNA", at positions 30 to 507 of the family's 1533-position model. The record is from RNAcentral.
AUUGAACGCUGGCGGCAGGCCUAACACAUGCAAGUCGAACGGUAACAGGAAGAAGCUUGCUUCUUUGCUGACGAGUGGCGGACGGGUGAGUAAUGUCUGGGAAACUGCCUGAUGGAGGGGGAUAACUACUGGAAACGGUAGCUAAUACCGCAUAACGUCGCAAGACCAAAGAGGGGGACCUUCGGGCCUCUUGCCAUCGGAUGUGCCCAGAUGGGAUUAGCUAGUAGGUGGGGUAACGGCUCACCUAGGCGACGAUCCCUAGCUGGUCUGAGAGGAUGACCAGCCACACUGGAACUGAGACACGGUCCAGACUCCUACGGGAGGCAGCAGUGGGGAAUAUUGCACAAUGGGCGCAAGCCUGAUGCAGCCAUGCCGCGUGUAUGAAGAAGGCCUUCGGGUUGUAAAGUACUUUCAGCGGGGAGGAAGGGAGUAAAGUUGAUACCUUUGCUCAUUGAUGUUACCCGCAGAAGAAGCACCGGCUAACUCCGUG